UAUAUUUUGGUGUAUGAUGCACAAAAGUUUUUGAUGUUUUUGGAAAUAGUUUAAUUCUAUUAAGUAUAA
RNAcentral lists this transfer RNA (69 nucleotides) under Cyphoderris monstrosa. RNAcentral's name for it is "tRNA-Gln". The record is from RNAcentral. Lineage: Eukaryota; Metazoa; Arthropoda; Insecta; Orthoptera; Prophalangopsidae.